This 1970-nucleotide ribosomal RNA is filed under the name human gut metagenome. RNAcentral's name for it is "bacterial LSU rRNA". It matches the Rfam family "Bacterial large subunit ribosomal RNA", at positions 1 to 1977 of the family's 2925-position model. The record is from RNAcentral.
GAAAGUAAGAAAGGGCGUAUGGCGGAUGCCUAGGCUCACGGAGGCGAUGAAGGACGUGAUAAGCUGCGAUAAGCUUCGGGUAGGUGCAAAUAACCCUUGAUCCGGAGAUUUCCGAAUGGGACAACCUAGCCGUCUGAAGGACGGUUACUAGCACUUAAGUGUUAGAGCUAACGCAGGGAACUGAAACAUCUUAGUACCUGCAGGAAGAGAAAAUAAAUGAAUGAUUCCCCCAGUAGUGGCGAGCGAACGGGGAACAGCCCAAACCGUUGACGUCGCAAGGCGUCAGCGGGGUUGUAGGACCGCGACAUUGUAUGCAAAUCGUGAACAGAACACUUUGGAAAAUGUGACCAUAGACGGUGAUAGUCCAGUAUGUGAAGCGAAAUGCAGCAUAGCGGUAUCCUGAGUAACGCGGGACACGAGGAAUCCUGCGCGAAUCUGCCGGGACCAUCCGGUAAGGCUAAAUACUCCCGUGAGACCGAUAGCGAACGAGUACUGUGAAGGAAAGGUGAAAAGAACCCCGAGCAGGGGAGUGAAAUAGUUCCUGAAACCAUACGCCUACAAGCGGUCGGAGCAUCUUACGAUGUGACGGCGUGCCUUUUGCAUAAUGAUCCUACGAGUUACCGUCACUGGCGAGGUUGAGUGUCAUGAGACACGUAGCCGCAGUGAAAGCGAGCCUGAAUAGGGCGCAUAGUCAGUGGGGGUAGACGCGAAACCAAGUGAUCUACACUUGGCCAGGAUGAAGUCCCGGUAACACGGGAUGGAGGUCCGCACCAAUAAGCGUUGAAAAGCUUCUGGAUGAGCCGAGUGUAGGAGUGAAAGGCCAAUCAAACUUGGAGAUAGCUCGUACUCCCCGAAAGGCAUUUAGGUGCCGCGUCGGAUGGUCACCGUGAGAGGUAGAGCGACCGAUAGGACAAGAGGGCUUCACCGCCUAUCGAGUCCUGACGAACUCCGAAUGCUCACGGUCUGCAGUCCGGCAGUAAGGGGGCGGGUGCUAAGGUCCGUCCCCGAGAGGAGAAGAAUCCAGACCGCCGUCUAAGGUCCCGGAGUUCUGCCUGAGUUAGUCUAACGAAGUCUGGUCCCUAUGACAGCUAGGAUGUUGGCUUGGAAGCAGCCAUUCAUUCAAAGAGUGCGUAACAGCUCACUAGUCGAGGGUCCGGGCAUGGAUAAUAAUCGGGUAUAAGGCAGACACCGAAGGCGCGGGAUAGCAUUUAAGAAAGUAUCGGUAGGGGAGCAUACUCACAGCGUCGAAUGGUGUACGUAAGUUAUCCUGGAGCGGUGAGUAAAGCAAAUGUAGGAAUAAGUAACGAUAAGGAGGGUUAGAUUCCCUCCCGCUGUAAGACCAAGGUUUCCCGGGCAAUGCCAAUCAGCCCGGGGUCAGUCGGGUCCUAAGUCUAAGCCGAACGGCGAUGGCGAUGGCAGAGACGGUUAAUAUUCCGUCACUGCCGCAUGGGGCGACGUGGAGACGGAGCAGUGAAACCACCGCGGGGCGACGGAAGUCCCCGUUGAAGAGUGUAGGUGUUGAGGAUGGCAGGCAAAUCCACCGUCCGAGCUGAACUUGAUAGUAUGGAGUCUUCUUCGGAAGAAUCCAAUAGUGUGGGUAAUCAUACUCCCGAGAAAAUCCGCUAAGCUUAACCCAUGCGGCACCCGUACCGCAAACGGACACACGUGGUCGGGUAGAACAUACUAAGGCGUUGAGAGAUUCAUGGUUAAGGAACUAGGCAAAUUGACCCUGUAACUUCGGGAUAAAGGGUCCUCGUGAUGAGCGAGGCGCAGAGAAUAGGUCCAGGCAACUGUUUAACAAAAACACAGGGCUGUGCAAACUCGAAAGAUGACGUAUACAGCCUGACACCUGCCCGGUGCCGGAAGGUUAAGAGGAGAUGUCACACUUAUGUGGAAGCAUUGAAUUGAAGCCCCGGUAAACGGCGGCCGUAACUAUAACGGUCCUAAGGUAGCGAAAUUCCUUGUCGGGU